GGUGGUUUUGGGUGGCACACCCUGGAAUUGGGCUCCCUCCUCUCUGGCUCUGGUUGCGUCACCCGAGAACCGUA
Non-coding RNA from Myotis brandtii (Brandt's bat), 74 nucleotides. NCBI's taxonomy places the organism in Eukaryota, Metazoa, Chordata, Mammalia, Chiroptera, Vespertilionidae. The record is from Rfam.